Long non-coding RNA from Homo sapiens (human), 2921 nucleotides. Ensembl annotates it as metabolism induced tumor activator 1. Its record names the gene MITA1. The record is from Ensembl. Lineage: Eukaryota; Metazoa; Chordata; Mammalia; Primates; Hominidae.
GACCAGAGGAAUUCGCGAAUUUCCGAAUCACCGCAGGAAAAACCAGCUGGCCUGAAUCAAAGCAAUUCUGGGUAAAAGACUUCCCAGAUGAUCUCUCAACGCCUUGGCAACGCUUGGCGACUGGGAGCUAGAACCAUGAGUUGUUAAUGUGUGCACGGAAGCCACAAGUGUGCAGGACGCAAGCUGGGUUAUUGGAAGCGGACGACACCAAGGAGGCGUUGCCGCGGAUGUGGUGGACGAUGCCAAGUCGUCUUUUAAAAAAGGAAGUGAAGAAUGAUUAAGAGGGUCACGCCCUCUACCACUCCAACCUCUCUAAUCAGUCUCUUUCUGCUCCGUCUGCUGUACAUGCACCUGCUCAGGUGAGACCUCAAGGAAAAAUAAUCCUGUGGGUCCACCUAAUCUGACAACCACAGUUGCUAACAGUAUGAGUUCUGCAGUUAUACAGAACUAAGUCCAUUAGCUGUGUGACCCAUGGCCAAAUAUUUUCCUUCUCUGUGCCUGCAUUUCUUCAUCUGCAAACUGGAAUAAUGAUAGCAACUACUUCAGAGGACUAUGCUAGAGUGCAAUGGCGCAAUCUUGGCUCACUGCAACCUCCACUUCCCAGGUUCAAGUGAUUCUCCUGCCUCAGUCUCCUGAGUAGCUGAUAUUACAGGUGCCUGCCACUACACCCAGGUGGAGUCUCGCUCUGUUGCCCAGGCUGGAGUGCAGUGGUGCCAUCUCGGCUCACUGCAAUCUCCACCUCCCAGGGUUCACACCAUUCUCCUGUCUCAGCCUCCCGAGAAGCCGGGACUACAAGCACCUGCCACCACACCCGGUUAAUUUUUUGUAUUUUUAGUAGAGACAGGGUUUCACCAUGUUAGCCAGGAUGGCCUCGAUCUCCUGACCUCAUGAUCUGCCCACCUCAGCCUCCCAAAGUGUUGGGAUUACAGGCAUGAGCCACCGCGCCAGGUGGUUUUAUAAGGGAAUUUUCCCCCACUUUGCUCUGCACUUAUCCUUGCUGCUGCCAUGUGAAAAAGGAUGUGUUUGCUUCCCCUUCUGCCAUGAUUGUAAGUUUCCUGAGCCCUGUGUCCCAGCUGCUCCAGCGGUGACUAAAAGAGGCCAAGGUAUAGCUCAGGUCGUUGCUUCAGAGGGUGCAAGACCCAACUCUUGGGUUGGGUCUUGGCGUUGGUGUUGGUCCUGCAGAGGCACAUAAGACAAGAAUUGAGGUUUGGGAACUUUCGCUUAGAUUUCAGAGGAUGCAUGGAAAUGCCUGGAUGUCCAGGGAGAAGUUUGGUGCAGGGGUGGAGUCCUCCUGGAGAACCCCUGCUAGGUCAGUGCAGAAGGGAAAUGUGAGGUGGGAGCCACCACACAGAGUCCCCACUUGGGCACUGCCUAGUGUGGCUGUAAGAAAAGGGUCACCAUUCUCCAGAACCCAGAAUGGUAGAUCCACAGACAGCUUGCACCAUGCACCUGGAAAAGCCACAGACACUCAAUGCCAGCCAUGAAAAAACCCAAGAGUGGGGCUGUACCCUGCAAAGCCACAGGGGCAGAGCUGCCCAAGAUUGUGGGAGCCCAUCUCUUGCAUCAGUCUAACCUGGAUGUGAGACAGGGAGUCAAAGGAGAUCAUUUUGGAACUUUGCAGUUUAAUGACUGCCCCGUUGAAUUUCAGACUGGCAUAGGUCCUGAACCCCCUUUGUUUUGGUCAGUUUCUCCCAUUUGGAAUGGGUGUAUUUUCUCAAUGCCUGUCCCCAUUAUAUAGCUAAAUUGCUUUUGAUUUUACAGGCUCCUAGGGACCUGAGAAAAGGCACUUGUCUUGUCUCAGAUGUGACUUUGGACUUGGACUUUUGAGUUCAUGCUAGAAUGAGUUAAUACCUGGGAGGACUGUUGGAGGGACAUGAUUGUGUUUUGAAUUUUGAGGACAUGAGUUUUGUGAGGGGCUAGGGUGGAAUGAUAUGGUUUGGCUAUGUUGCCAGCCAAAUCUCAUCUUGAACUGUAGUUCCCAUAAUCCUCAGGUGUUAUAGGAGGAACCUGGUGGGAGGUAAGUGGAUCAUGGGGGCGGUUACCUCCAUGCUGUUCUCAUAAUAGUGGGUGAGUUCUCAUGAGAUAUGAUGGAUUUUUAAGGUGCUUUUCUCCAACUUCGCUCUGCACUUUUCCUUGCUGUCGCAAUGUAAGGAAGGAUGUGUUUGCUUCCCCUUCUGCCAUGAUUGCAAGUUUCCUGAGGUCUCCCCAGUCAUGCUAAACUGUCCAAUCAGCAUAAUGUCAUCAAUGCAAUGGAACGGACUGAUUUUCUGCAGAAAGGGAAAUCAAUCAAGGUCCCAGUGGACUAAAUGAUGAUAUAAGGCUGAAGAAUGGACGCAUCCUAUGAAGUCUCGCUCUGUCACCCAGGCUGUAGUGUAGUGGGGUGACCUUGGCUUACUGCAACCUCCACCUCCUAGGUUCCAGCGAUUCUCCCACCUCAGCCUCCUGAGUACCUGAGAUUAUAGGCACCUGCCACCAUGCCCAGCUAAUUUUUGUAUUUUUAGUAGAGACUGUGUUUCACCAUAUUGGCCAGGCUGGUCUUGAACUCCUGACCUCAAGCGAUCUGCCCACCUUGGCCUCCCAAAGUGCUGGGAUUACAGGCAUGAGCCACAGUGCCUGGCCUACGUAUUUCUUUUUAAAGACUGACUUUUCAUUUAGAUUAAAUGAUUGCUCUUCUAAAGUAAUUUACUCUUUGUUGGUUUUAAGAAAUCUUUUGCAUGUAUAAGGUAUAAAACAACAACUGUUUAUAUGUUACUUCCAUUAGCCGAUGAACUAGCGGUUAAAUGAUGCUUCAAAUAGAAAAUAAGUUAAUUCCACUAAUAGAUUGUGUUUUCAUUAAAGUCAUAAACAUGAAAUAACACUUUACAAAGUUCAUUUUGUUGAGUAUCUUGCAUUACUGUGAAUUAUAUUGUAAAGUAGUUUAA